AUAAAUUCAGGACUCCAUGAAGAAAAGUUCAAGAAGUUCCUAAAUGCCCUUUCUGGACAGUAAUGGCGUUCUAGAAAAUGUAUAAUGCUGCAAUCUACUUUUAAACAGCUGCUGUGGCUCCUGAUCAAAGACAGGUCCCUCUUCUUGGUAUUUUUUCAUCUCGAGGAGAACAACUGAAGACUUCUGCUGAAAUUGAGCACCCUUAGUCCCUGUUUGGCACAGCUGAGCUAUCCAGUGACAUUUCAACCUCCCUGCAGAACUGGAAUGUUAAAGAUCUGGAUCCAGCUUACCCUUGAACCUCUUCUCCUUUGGAAAACAAACAAACAAAAAAAUGAAAACAAUGUGAAGCAGAGGUUAAUGACCAGCAUCUCUGUCAGAGACCUGAGAACUUCUGAUGAAGGACUCCUACAACUGUUCAAUUUUCAAGUCAGUGCAUUAAGCGAGCUGAUCUCAUUUAUGUAAUAGACUAAAGAGAAAAACUGAAUACAUCACAUCAGGGACUGUGUAUCCGUGACUGAACUGCUUCCCUUUGCCUCCUCCAGCUACUGCCUGCUGUGUCAGCAGUCCAGCUGCUGUGAUGUUUUCCACUCUGUCUCAAAGGCAGGCAGUGCUAAGCCCUGCCCAGAUGCUCAAGCAUGAAGUCUGCUAGAUUCAACUGCACAGUACUUGUAGCGGGAGGGGCAGGUCUUGAGAAUGAAAAUCAAGACAAAAACAGGCUCACCUCAGAUACUGAGAGUACUUGGAGAAGAUCCCAAUUUCCAUUUAUAGGGCACUUCUGUUUUGUAUAGUUCUGGAGUGCAAUGUGUAAUAAUAAGAGAUGAUUAUGCUGCACAAUAGCCUGAAUAUAGUCACUGAAGCAGAAUGAAAUUAAAAAAGGUUUCUUUUCACAAGGAAUGAUAUAAUGAUUUCUGUCAUGCUUACAGCCAUAAAUGAAAAUAGCAAUUCAUUACACACCAAAACUAAGCAAAUAGUUGAGGCUACAGGUAGUGCAUAAACAGUAAAACCAAAACCAAUAUAAGGACCCAGAGGCUGAUUGCAUUUUUGACUUUAUUUAUUACUUUUGAUCUAGACUAGAAUAGAUGAGACUAGAAAUAACCAUUCUCCUUCUCUGAACACCCUGCCAAUUAUUUCAGUCUACAAAACCAAAAUGCAAUAUGAACAGCUCAUGCUUGUAGCAAAUACCCAUUGGGAUGUUCCAGCCCCUCCUUUUCUACUAAUGCUUAAUUUAACUUCUUUCUUGUGCCCAAUGCUAGGUCACAUCUGUGAGUAUUGCAAGAACUGCUGAUACGUG
This 1291-nucleotide long non-coding RNA is filed under the name Phasianus colchicus (ring-necked pheasant). RNAcentral describes it as "lncRNA (ENSPCLG00000006453.1)". Lineage: Eukaryota; Metazoa; Chordata; Aves; Galliformes; Phasianidae. The record is from RNAcentral.